This 751-nucleotide long non-coding RNA is filed under the name Prunus dulcis (almond). Its description in RNAcentral is "sRNA ncRNA". Lineage: Eukaryota; Viridiplantae; Streptophyta; Magnoliopsida; Rosales; Rosaceae. The record is from RNAcentral.
GCACAAUAGAAACUUGUUACAUGCGUUCCAAAGGGAUCGAUACAGAAGAAAUUAAGCAAACACUAAUGCCAUAUUUAAACAAGAAGCACAGAUACUUCAAUUCCUUCAGGAUUUGUCUGAGUCUUGUGAAGAAUCAGAACUUGAGGAGGGGUAUCCGAUUCCAUGGCGAUUAUUAGGGAACACGCAGAAAACAGUACAGGCAAUUACACCGAUGACAGGAGGCAACACCUGCAGCAAAACCUUCUCACUGGACUCAAACCCUGGAUAGAAGCACCUGACACUGUUGGUGUCCAAAAGUGAUACAACUGCAAACACAAUCAAGGAAAAGAAGGCAUGCACAAAGUCGCCAAACCUAAGCUUGUAAGCAGACAAGGCCACGGAGUUAGAAUUUGUUGAGGGCCAAAGACCCUUAGCUGUUGCAACCCCAUAGUGGGUUUUUCCAUCACUGCCCUUGUAACUAUCAGUGAAGGAAGCAAAACAGCAAGAGAAACCUGAAAUGGCGAUGAGAAUGGCGCUUAGGAAUUUGUUGACGGUGGCGCAGUGGCCAGUGUUGGACAAGACAGGGUUGAGGAACUGGAACAAGAAGACGGUGCCGGUUGGGAGGACCUUGAUGAGGUUGCCUGCUGCUGUGAAUGUUUUGUCUUUGACAGUUUUCUUUUUGGUUGUUAACAAUGACACUGUAUUGGAGGAAGUGCUAGUAGAACCCCCCAUUUGGGAACUAAUGUGUCUUGAGGGAGUUAUUGGAAGUGUU